RNAcentral lists this transfer RNA (72 nucleotides) under Planococcus faecalis. Its description in RNAcentral is "tRNA-OTHER". It matches the Rfam family "tRNA". Rfam says of the family: Transfer RNA (tRNA) molecules are approximately 80 nucleotides in length. Their secondary structure includes four short double-helical elements and three loops (D, anti-codon, and T loops). The record is from RNAcentral. Lineage: Bacteria; Bacillati; Bacillota; Bacilli; Caryophanales; Caryophanaceae.
GCGGAAGUAGUUCAGUGGUAGAACGCCUUGCCAAGGUGGAGGUCGCGAGUUCGAACCUCGUCUUCCGCUCCA